This 499-nucleotide ribosomal RNA is filed under the name uncultured bacterium. RNAcentral describes it as "partial 16S ribosomal RNA". It matches the Rfam family "Bacterial small subunit ribosomal RNA", at positions 28 to 507 of the family's 1533-position model. The record is from RNAcentral.
GACGAACGCUGGCGGCGUGCCUAAUACAUGCAAGUCGAGCGGACUGAAUGGGAGCUUGCUCUUGUUCGGUCAGCGGCGGACGGGUGAGUAACACGUGGGCAACCUGCCCGCAAGACCGGGAUAACUCCGGGAAACCGGAGCUAAUACCGGAUAACACCGAAGACCGCAUGGUCUUUGGUUGAAAGGCGGCGCACGCUGCCACUUGCGGAUGGGCCCGCGGCGCAUUAGCUAGUUGGUGAGGUAACGGCUCACCAAGGCGACGAUGCGUAGCCGGCCUGAGAGGGUGACCGGCCACACUGGGACGGAGACACGGCCCAGACGCCUACGGGAGGCAGCAGUAGGGAAUCUUCCGCAAUGGGCGAAAGCCGGACGGAGCGACGCCGCGGGAGCGAAGAAGGCCUUCGGGUCGUAAAGCUCUGUUGUGAGGGACGAAGGAGCGCCGUUUGAAGAAGGCGGCGCGGUGACGGUACCUCACGAGGAAGCCCCGGCUAACUACGUG